UGGGGAAUAUUGCACAAUGGGCGCAAGCCUGAUGCAGCCAUGCCGCGUGUGUGAAGAAGGCCUUCGGGUUGUAAAGCACUUUCAGCGGGGAGGAAGGCGAUAAGGUUAAUAACCUCAUCGAUUGACGUUACCCGCAGAAGAAGCACCGGCUAACUCCGUGCCAGCAGCCGCGGUAAUACGGAGGGUGCAAGCGUUAAUCGGAAUUACUGGGCGUAAAGCGCACGCAGGCGGUCUGUCAAGUCGGAUGUGAAAUCCCCGGGCUCAACCUGGGAACUGCAUUCGAAACUGGCAGGCUAGAGUCUUGUAGAGGGAGGUAGAAUUCCAGGUGUAGCGGUGAAAUGCGUAGAGAUCUGGAGGAAUACCGGUGGCGAAGGCGGCCCCCUGGACAAAGAAUGACGCUCAGGUGCGAAAGCGUGGGGAGCAAACAGG
This 429-nucleotide ribosomal RNA is filed under the name Chloroflexota bacterium. RNAcentral describes it as "Chloroflexi bacterium partial 16S ribosomal RNA". It matches the Rfam family "Bacterial small subunit ribosomal RNA", at positions 355 to 776 of the family's 1533-position model. Lineage: Bacteria; Bacillati; Chloroflexota. The record is from RNAcentral.